Andrographis paniculata is the source of this 1027-nucleotide long non-coding RNA. RefSeq lists it as uncharacterized. The record is from RefSeq and is a predicted model, not a curated record. NCBI's taxonomy places the organism in Eukaryota, Viridiplantae, Streptophyta, Magnoliopsida, Lamiales, Acanthaceae. The transcript has 2 exons.
UUGUAAAAAUUAUCUUCUCAUUCUCUUUCUCUCUCUUCUCCCCACUUCUUCUAUUUCUCCCUAUGAAUGUGGAGUUCUUUGCUUCUGUCUUCCGCGUGAAGCUUGAGAUUUUGAUUUUUUCUCUUUGCUUUGAUUAUGUGAACUUAGAAGGAUUCUAGCAAGAAAUCUAGCGACAAGACGUAAAUUUAAAAUUUUGUUGGCAUUAUCUUUCAGGUUUUCUGGUGUUUUUCCCAUGUCUGCAUUUGUGUGGCAAACCGAUGCUCUCGAACCUCCGGCAAUUAAGUAACAACCGAUUCGGUGCAAAAAUGUGAAGAAAACAGCUGACCGCUCCCAUCCCCCAAGACAAGCUCGAAGAAGUAAGUGCCAGGUUGGACCUUUUUCAAGUUUUGAUUUGUUGACCUUGAUAUUAUACCGUAGUUUGUUUGAUUAUUUGAGGUGUAAAUCUUGGUCCCGUAUUUGUAUGCAUUGGUUUGGUGUUGAGAAGCCCUAAGUGAUCGGUGUAGUUUUAUUUGUUAAUCGGAUUUGAAAUCGUUCGUAUAUUUGCCCAGAUACACCGAGUUGAGUGUUUUAUUUUGGCACCAAUUUUGGAUUAUUUUAUUUAUUUAAUUUGUGAUUUUUUUUAAUUUUGUAGAUGUACAUUUUGUUUAGUUACCCGAAGUUGUAUAUUUUAGUUUUUUUUUAUUGUUCGAGUAAUGUGAACUUGUGGUAUUUAUUUACAAAUCGGGGAAAGAAUACAAAUAGGUUAUCAUCCGAUUUGCAGUACCAUGUUUUCAUAACGAGAUGGAGAAAAUGAAGAAAUGCAUAUUGGAUGAACAUAUUAGAGCCAUCAAAAUGACUCAAUUCGGCCAUUUUCUGGACUGCCCAAAGAUAAGGUUGUAGUGGCACCGCCUGCUUGCCUUGAUUAAUAACUUUAGCCCGGAGCCCACGUCAUUCAACAUCGGAGUUGACAUUAUGGAAACAACAUGAUAUUAUUUUUACUAUUUGUUCCCACAUGUUAGCAUCACCAGAUAGCUCAUUCCAUUACCAA